UACGUAGGGUGCAAGCGUUGUCCGGAAUUAUUGGGCGUAAAGAGCUCGUAGGCGGUUUGUUGCGUCGGCUGUGAAAUCCCGAGGCUCAACCUCGGGUCUGCAGUCGAUACGAGCAAACUAGAGUGUUGCAGGGGAGACUGGAAUUUCUGGGUGAUAGCGGUGAAAUGCGCAGAUAUCAGGAGGAACACCGGUGGCGAAGGCGGGUCUCUGGGCAACAACUGACGCUGGAG
Molecule: ribosomal RNA, 230 nt
Filed under: uncultured bacterium
Lineage: Bacteria
Description: partial 16S ribosomal RNA
Rfam family: Bacterial small subunit ribosomal RNA
Source: RNAcentral